CAAAAAAAUCAGAAUGAGAAUCUAUAUCAACAACCCUGCCAGAGAUAGCCAGCUGUUUAUCAAUGGGUUUGAACACACAGAACUAAGACUCCCUUUUCUCAGGUUUAUCAAAUAAUCAACCACAUUCACAGACAGUGUUCUGUACAGUGUGGAUGCUAUGUUGACAGGAAACACUUUCAACUGGAGAUGGAUGAAGGUAUUUCUACACAGACCAAACAAUUCUUCAGUGGACACCAGCUGGAUCCACUAAUUCAACUCAAUUCUGAAACUAUGUACCUGGAGAUAGUGCUGGAUCCUAUAGGUUGAGGGAUCAGAAAUGAAUUGCAAGCCACAGUUGUAACCUGAGCUUCUUCUGACUGAUGAGUUAUAAAUUGGGUUCGGAGAUUCCCUCCUCAGGUUAGAUUAAUUUUCAAGAGCAGGUCACAGAACUGAGGGAAGCACUUCAGUUAAAUUUAUCAGUUUAUUAAAAAGUGAUAAAGUAACGCUAAUGGGAUACAUAGGAUGAGAUCUGAAAGUGUCCCCCAGGGAAUUGGGGUGUGGCACCCUGGUACGUGGAUUUAUUUCAUAUCUCAGAAAUUCUCUAAGAUGCAUCAUUCAGGGAUUUGUAUGAGGCCUUCAUAACAUGGGCAUGAUUCAUUAGUGACUCCACAGCUGGCCCCCUCCUCUCUCUGGAGAUUGGGGGUAGAGCUGGAAGAACCACAUUUAUAAUCUUGACUUGGUCUUUUUGGUGACCAGACCCAACCCAGAGGCCCAACAAGUAUCACCUCAUUGGAACAAAAAACACCCCUAUGCCCACAAAAUUCAGAAAAUUUAGAAAAUCUAUAUAAGAAACCACGGUCAAAGACCAAACAAAGACUAAGAUUCUCCUAACAUCCCUAUCUAAAAGAGCAUUAGGAGCUCUGUCACAAAGAUUAUGGCAGAGACCAAACUUUUUCUCUUCUUGCUCUAAUCACUUAGGAAAUUAUAAUCUUUCUAGGAGCUGAGAGAGAGCAACUGGACAAAAAACAAAUAUGUAUUUGAUACUGUCACAUUUUCUUUCUCUUUUUUGGCAGGGACUGAAAAUUCCCUGCCAAUAUCCAUUCUCCUUUUCUUCCUUCUAUUAAUAGAAAGUCUUCCCUCCCUUACCAAGUUUUGGCAGGGAACAAGUUUGGGACUUACUUUCUCUAAAAGCUGGCCACCUCCUUGUUACUUUCAAUUUCCUUUGGCUGGAAUACAGAUAGGGCAUUGAAGAGCUAGCUUUAACACAAGUGAGAACAACAAUAGGAGAUUUGAGAUGCAUCGUUCAGAAAUUAUAUUGAAGGAAAUGAAUUCCCUAGAAGAUUUUAUGAAUCUGAGCUAUCUACUGACCUUUGAACAUCCACCCACAUUUUCCUAUGAAGUGAACAAAAAAAGAGACUUCCAUCUGGUUUGAGCAUUCUCAGUAACUGUGGAUACCCUAACACAGAAAAUUAUCUGUCUCCAUUUGUUCACUGAGGGUUAAAGACAAGUAGUUUACUUGUAGGGUUGUUAUACAUAUCCAAAGAGAAUAUGUAAGAAAAAUGCUCAACAUAGAACAUGCUAUGUGACUUUUCUGAAUGUAAGAAACAUAUUAUCAUUAGAUUAUUUGAUUAUUUCUGCAUAUUAAAUAUUUUUCAUAAGAACUUUCUUUUCUGUUGGCUUUUAAGUCUUUUAGAAAAGAAUCUCCCAUAACAGAAUAAACAAAAAUUUUGACUAUAUGAUCAAUAAAACAAUGUUGUGUGAA
Molecule: non-coding RNA, 1741 nt
Organism: Ictidomys tridecemlineatus (thirteen-lined ground squirrel)
Lineage: Eukaryota; Metazoa; Chordata; Mammalia; Rodentia; Sciuridae
Source: RefSeq, a predicted model, not a curated record